Molecule: ribosomal RNA, 400 nt
Filed under: uncultured bacterium
Lineage: Bacteria
Description: bacterial SSU rRNA
Rfam family: Bacterial small subunit ribosomal RNA
Source: RNAcentral
GGGGAAUAUUGGACAAUGGGGGCAACCCUGAUCCAGCCAUGCCGCGUGAGUGAUGAAGGCCUUAGGGUUGUAAAGCUCUUUCACCGGGGAAGAUAAUGACGGUACCCGGAGAAGAAGCCCCGGCUAACUUCGUGCCAGCAGCCGCGGUAAUACGAAGGGGGCUAGCGUUGUUCGGAAUUACUGGGCGUAAAGCGCACGUAGGCGGACAUUUAAGUCAGGGGUGAAAUCCCGGGGCUCAACCUCGGAACUGCCUUUGAUACUGGGUGUCUUGGGUAUGGAAGAGGUAAGUGGAAUUGCGAGUGUAGAGGUGAAAUUCGUAGAUAUUCGCAGGAACACCAGUGGCGAAGGCGGCUUACUGGUCCAUUACUGACGCUGAGGUGCGAAAGCGUGGGGAGCAAAC